RNAcentral lists this ribosomal RNA (474 nucleotides) under uncultured organism. Its description in RNAcentral is "partial 16S ribosomal RNA". It matches the Rfam family "Bacterial small subunit ribosomal RNA", at positions 333 to 798 of the family's 1533-position model. The record is from RNAcentral.
ACACUCCUACGGGAGGCAGCAGUGGGGAAUUUUGGACAAUGGGCGAAAGCCUGAUCCAGCCAUGCCGCGUGCAGGAUGAAGGCCUUCGGGUUGUAAACUGCUUUUGUACGGAACGAAACGGCCUUUUCUAAUAAAGAGGGCUAAUGACGGUACCGUAAGAAUAAGCACCGGCUAACUACGUGCCAGCAGCCGCGGUAAUACGUAGGGUGCAAGCGUUAAUCGGAAUUACUGGGCGUAAAGCGUGCGCAGGCGGUUAUGUAAGACAGUUGUGAAAUCCCCGGGCUCAACCUGGGAACUGCAUCUGUGACUGCAUAGCUAGAGUACGGUAGAGGGGGAUGGAAUUCCGCGUGUAGCAGUGAAAUGCGUAGAUAUGCGGAGGAACACCGAUGGCGAAGGCAAUCCCCUGGACCUGUACUGACGCUCAUGCACGAAAGCGUGGGGAGCAAACAGGAUUAGAUACCCGGGUAGUCCCAU